This is a non-coding RNA of Heterocephalus glaber (naked mole-rat), 2542 nucleotides long. The record is from RefSeq and is a predicted model, not a curated record. Lineage: Eukaryota; Metazoa; Chordata; Mammalia; Rodentia; Bathyergidae.
AGUCUCUGGAAAUUAAAGAAGCAAACUAAUUUUUCUAAUCAACUCUACAUGUGAUGUGAAACUUAUCAGUUCACAUAGGAAGCAACGUAAGUUGCGGCAAAAAAUCAAAUAGGUUUUUCAGGAUUGAUUAGUUCAAUAUGUCUGUUUGGCAAAGAAUUUUUUUUGUUUUGUUUUUUGGCUUAGCAUCAUGCAGACAGUCUCAUUAUAUCCUAGAUGUUACAAAUACAACUUUUGUAAAUUUUAUUCAUUUAUUUGAAAAGAUUUAUUGAACAUCUCAUACCAGAGUUCAUAAAAGUAAGAAUCCAUGGCACCUGCCCUUGUUCUCAGAUAUAACUCCAUUGAUUGGACCUAUCAACCACUGCAGUUCUUGUCAAGUUUCUCCACUUGUGCAGGACAGCUUGGUGCUUUGCUCUAUGCCUUCUGGGCCAUGUUGAUCAUACUGCUGCUCUGUAAACUGACUCCCAGUUUGCUGGCACAUAAUGGUUCUCUUUCUCUUAUACACGGACAAACUCACACUCAUCUCACACAACUUUGGAUCAAAUUUGAGAGCUCAAUUUCUGGCACUAAUUGCUGUUUUAAAAAGUUGCUCUUCCAAUUUGAGGAAGACAAGUUUGUCCCUUGUAGUUCACUGAUUAUCCUGAGCGAGGAAAGGAGACUGGCCAAAAAUUCAAGCUGAGGUGAAGUCUAGAUUUAAUCCUAUAGCAAUGAGGAGCCCUUGGAGGAUUUAAAACAGGGAAAGUACCAUGGCUGGAGCUGUGUUUUAAAGGAUCGUGCUGAUGGCAGUGUGGGGUAUGAGCAGAGAACAGUCACACAUAGCAGACAGAAAAGGUAGACAGAUAGUGAAGGAGCUUAGGUGAGAGAUGAAGGUCCAAAUCUAUAUUGAAGCAAAAGGGAAAAGGGGACACAUUCAUAAACUUAUGGAAGAUUGGGAGACAAAGAUGCCUUAAAAACUUAAUUCUGAAAGUACAGUUUUCCAGAAUACAUUCAGAUUAAAGCACAAGAGGUUAGAAAAAACAGGAUUUUGAGUUAAUAGACAACAAAGAUUUUACCAUUAAAAUACUGUAGUGGAUUAAUGUAGAUUUGGGAUUUACCUAAGUGUUACAGCAGGUGGCAGUAACCAAACACAGGAAUUUUAGUAUUUUUUUCUUUAGUCCUUUGCCUGUAGUUUAGUGUUUUUCAUAGUUCUUUAUCUAAUUUGGUUCAUUAAAGCAUCAUGUAGCAAAUAUUAUUCAACUUUCACUUUUUCUUAGGAUAAGAAUUGACUACAAAGCGAACUUUGUGACAGUCUCAUCCCAAGGAGUUCAUGGAUGAGCUUUUUGAAGGAGUCCUUAAAAUCUCAGAAAUGAUCAGCCAAUUAAUGUGCAUACAUACUUUUUCCUGGGAAGAAAAUCCAUAUCUCCCAUUAUGGCCUCAAAUGGGUCUGUAAUUUCCAAAGCAUUCUGUGUCUAAACAUGGUGAUGGAAAGCUAACCAUAUGGGAGGAGAAACUUUGAAACUGAAAAUUCCCAGAGCUUUAUUCUAUGAACAGAGUAUGAAGUGAUUGUUCUGGGUAUGUCAAAGCAAACAGCAUUUGAUCAUUCAUCCACUUAUUCAGGAAAAGCAGAGCCCUACAUGACUUUUGAAACCACCACAGAGACAACCAUUUCAUGGGAAUAGAAGUACCUUUCAAGUCAUGAAAACUCCAAAAGCUAUGAAACCAGGACUGAGAUAAUCAAGUGGACCCUGGUCCACUUCAGCUAAUCCCUAAAAGCUGCCUUCCCACGUUUGUGGGUGGGCCAGUCUGAUGUCCUUCAUCCAAGUGCCCCUUCUAGCUAUUCAAGCUGGAGUCCUUUUCUAAUUUUUCUUACUUUUUUAUGUUAAGGGCUUGCCUGACUUUUCUCAUCUCCUCAAGCUAAGGUAAGGGUAUGAUUUUACCUUACUUUUUUUUUUUUUUUUUUUUUAAUACAGGAUCUCACUAUAUAGCUCAGGCUGGCCUUGAACUCACAACAAUCCUCCUUCAGCCUCUGGAAAGCUGGAAUUUCAUCUGUGCACCACCAUGCCCAGGCUUACUUUCUAAUUAAAGCUUUUUCCUGCAAAUCUGUGCUUUAGUUUUAAUUUCCAUUUCUACUAAAACAAGGACCCAUGCAGGCCAGUGACAGUUAUGAAGUUUUUUCAAUGCAAGUGAAUUUAGGGUUGGGUUCUGGGUAUUUCUCAGAGGGAGAGUUUCCAGGUCUAAAGCACAGUAAGAGUGAACAGAUUAUGCUGGAUCGUCCACUGACAACUGUACAUAAUAAGGCAGAGUGUUUCGUUAAGGGGAACAAAUAGUAGCAAUGAUAUGGAUUCCAGGAUCUGCCGGCAGCAUGAACAUAGGGUCAGGGUAAACAUCUAGCAUUUGGUGAGAUACUUAUUAGAAAGUCACCACAGGCUCCUGGUUAAGGCAAUUCUGCAGUUGUUUCUGGAAAGUUAUUCUAGUAAAUGUUUACUGGAAUAGUUGGAGUGAAAAAACUUCACAAAAGGAAUAGUAUAUUUCUGUAGCCUCAGAUAAUGGAAGCCUGAACUGAGUG